RNAcentral lists this transfer RNA (85 nucleotides) under Candidatus Odinarchaeota archaeon. RNAcentral's name for it is "tRNA-Ser". It matches the Rfam family "tRNA". Rfam says of the family: Transfer RNA (tRNA) molecules are approximately 80 nucleotides in length. Their secondary structure includes four short double-helical elements and three loops (D, anti-codon, and T loops). RNAcentral also lists the same sequence under 1 other name. The record is from RNAcentral. Lineage: Archaea; Promethearchaeati; Candidatus Odinarchaeota.
GCUGAGGUAUCCAAGCUUGGUAUGGAGAUGGAUUGCUAAUCCAUUGUCGUAAGACUCACGAGUUCAAGUCUCGUCCUCAGCGCCA